AGGGCGGUAGCGCCCUCUGCCACCACCUGCUGGCGAAAAAAAUCAGUAACGCAGGCGGAGCCAUGUAGGACUUCUCAGAGGUAAGAAGCCUUCAAUGUAUGGGGACCCCUAAACUUGUGUGCCAAGCCCGCAAGACAAAUGUCCGUGGCACGAAGAUCAAGGACGACUUCUCAGAGGUGAUUCGGACAGGGUGCCGGGUGGGGCCUAAUGGUAUAUGAGCAGCAGGUGUCCUAUAUGAGAGCUCAUUCUGCCUGAGCUGCUCUUUGGGGCAGUAGGUAAACCUUAGGAGGAACCAGUCAAAGGAAACAGCACUUUCUGGAACUGUCAAGUUCUUGUUCGGCAACUCGGUGACUGGUUUGAUCUACUUUUCAGAUGUAGAGGCAAGCGGACUGUUGUCUUGAAAUGAUAAAAUUAAAAACAUGAAGUUUGUCAAAUGUGGCAGUGCCUGUUUACAGUCUGUUUAUUGCUUUUGCCAGUGGUAGAUAACACUUACAA
This is a long non-coding RNA of Cygnus atratus (black swan), 495 nucleotides long. RefSeq lists it as uncharacterized. The transcript is spliced from 3 exons. The record is from RefSeq and is a predicted model, not a curated record. Lineage: Eukaryota; Metazoa; Chordata; Aves; Anseriformes; Anatidae.